GACGAACGCUGGCGGUGUGCUUCACACAUGCAAGUCGAACGAGGUAGCAAUACCUAGUGGCGGACGGGGUGAGUAACGCGUGGGAAUCUGCCUUUAGAUGGGGGAUAACGGGGUCGAAAGACUCGCUAAUACCGCAUAUGACGAAAGUUGAAAGGAGUAAUCCGUCUAAAGAUGAGCCCGCGUCCGAUUAGCUAGUUGGUAAGAGUAAAAGCCUACCAAGGCGACGAUCGGUAGCUGGUCUGAGAGGAUGAUCAGCCACAAUGGGAACUAGAGACACGGCCCAUACUCCUACGGAGGCAGCAGUGGGAUUUUACGCAAUGGGCGAAAGCCUGACGUAGCGACACCGCGUGAGCGAAGAAGCCCUUGGGGUGUAAAAGCUCUGUCAGCUGGAACGAAAAAAAUGACGGUACCAGCAGAGGAAGCAUCGGCUAACUACGUGCCAGCAGCCGCGGU
Molecule: ribosomal RNA, 453 nt
Filed under: uncultured bacterium
Lineage: Bacteria
Description: bacterial SSU rRNA
Rfam family: Bacterial small subunit ribosomal RNA
Source: RNAcentral